RNAcentral lists this ribosomal RNA (510 nucleotides) under uncultured bacterium. RNAcentral's name for it is "bacterial SSU rRNA". It matches the Rfam family "Bacterial small subunit ribosomal RNA", at positions 28 to 528 of the family's 1533-position model. The record is from RNAcentral.
GACGAACGCUGGCGGCGUGGAUUAGGCAUGCAAGUCGAACGGUAUCAUCCUUUCGGGGGUGAGAGAGUGGCGAACUGGUGAGUAACACGUAGGUUAUCUACCCUCAAGACGGGGACAACCCAGGGAAACUUGGGCUAAUACCGGAUGUGAGCAACUUUUAGUUGUUUGAAAGGUGGCGUAAGCUGUCGCUUGGGGAUGAGCCUGCGUCCCUAUUAGUUAGUUGGUGAGGUAACGGCUCACCUAGGCAAUGAUAGGUAGGCGGCCUUAACGGGUGGUCGCCCACACUGGGAUUGAGAUACGGCCCAGACUCCUACGGGAGGCAGCAGUCGAGAAUAGUCUACAAUGGUCGGAAGACUGAUAGUGCGACGCCGCGUGAACGAUGAAUCCCUUCGGGGUGUAAAGUUCUUUUAUAUGUGAGCAGUGCUUCUUAUAUUAACAGUAUGGGGAGAGAGAUAUUAGCAUAUGAAUAAGCAACGGCUAACUCCGUGCCAGCAGCCGCGGUAAACUCGU